This is a non-coding RNA of Pimephales promelas (fathead minnow), 456 nucleotides long. The record is from RefSeq and is a predicted model, not a curated record. Lineage: Eukaryota; Metazoa; Chordata; Actinopteri; Cypriniformes; Leuciscidae.
CAAGAGAACUAAUGCGCUGAUUGGUGGAUUACAAAAUUGGUGAUUUUCGCAUCGUCUCGUCAGUUGCUGACACCAGUUCAAAUGUGAAGACGGGACGGGAGUUUUUCUUUGAGUAACAUUCUCGUGAGAUAGCUACAUAUUCGAUUAUCUUUUUUUCUGUGCAAGAAAGAACAUGGCAGCUAUGCACAGACCAUGUGGGUUAUUUUUCCCGGGCAAAGUUCAACAGAAUUGCUGGCAAAAACCUAAAGCAGGAUUUCUACGAGAACCUUGAUAGAUAUAGUCCACGGUUCAUGGACCUUUUUUAAGCCAAAGGGGGGACUCCAGCCCAACCAACGGAGGUCCUAACCCUUGUGAUUCAAGGACUACCUAUCAUGCUUGGAGAUGAUGGUGACUUCAUUUCUUCAAGUCAUGUUUAGUGUCUGAUCAUCGCAACUCCAUCCUUAAUGUGCCAGUGGC